Molecule: long non-coding RNA, 1806 nt
Filed under: Homo sapiens (human)
Lineage: Eukaryota; Metazoa; Chordata; Mammalia; Primates; Hominidae
Description: non-protein coding CASC15:6
Source: RNAcentral
GUGUAAUUACUAUUAUCAGCAUCUAGAAAGCAUCAUGAAUUUGCUGGAGUACUUCCUAGCACUGACCUCCUUCAUUCUGCGUUGUUCUUACUGGAUCUUUCCAUCAGCCAACAAUAUGGAAGUACCAAUACAAGGUCAAAUCAUUCCUGGAUUCAUCUGGAGUUGCUUAAAAGUUAAAUCAUUGGAAUUUUUGAUGAUACCUUUUCUAUAUGGAUUACAAUUUGAUCGCUGGGAAUUCUCCACCUUAAAGAAGUACCCUCAGGUGACUACAGAUGUGUUAACACCCAGCAUGUUCCGGUAGGAGACUUUCUGGAUGGGGAAGAUUUCCAGGAAUUGGCAACAAGCUCAUUUCACUGGUGGGUUUGCUGAAGCAUUAUCACAAGACAGUCAGAAUGACUGAUGAGUGCUCUUCAGGUGUGAAUCAUGGCAAUACAGUGAAAGACAGUGAUUUACUGCUUUUGAGGGCGUGCAUGUAUAUGAUUAACGGAUGGAAGUGCAGGACUCCAAGAUUUACUUCCUUCCCUUUCCAGCAGAAUUACCUGAGACGAGUAAAAUCUACUGGUGGAGUCACUCCAUUAUUCUUAUCUGUGGAGAUCUAGAUCUUGAUUUGAAAGUUUCUGAGAAAAUCUUCAGCUCAGACUUGAGGGUCAACUUUACCAGCUGAAGGAUCUGCAUUUACUGCUCAACCACAUCUAAUUUGAUGUCCUCUGCAGAUUUAAAAUGUGUGCCUUCUUUUCCGUCACCAAGUCAUCCCUGGGUUACUACUGAACAUCCUUCUCAAUUCCCCCCGACCCAUGGAUGGCUGUUCUCCAUUGUCUGUUUCACCAGAUGUCCUCAAAACAAACAGACAGAAGAAGGAAGUGGCUAAUGGAGCUGUGGAGUCCAAGUGUGACUGCCAAGAGGAAUCCAGCAAAGCCAAAAAGCCCAAGCAUGUAGCCCUGCCCGAAGCACGCCACACGCAUGGAAAACCCAGAGGAAAUGAGUGAGGAUCAAUGGGAAGAAGAGAGCCAGCCAGGAAGUUGAAGAUUUGUCCAGGAGCAGAUAGCUGAAGAGAGAGAGAGAGAAGAGAGAACGGCUUACAGCUCAGGUCCUCUCUCCAUGCUUAGGAACCACUACAAAUGCUACUGCCUUGAGUCUCAUUUUGUUUCCCUCUGGAAACCACAUGUGUACCUUGUUUGCAACAGUAUGGUUCUCGAUCUACACAUAGGCUGGAAUGCAGUGGUGUUGGUGUGAUAAGGGUCAGUGCAGUCUCAACCUCCUGGGCUCAAGUGAUCCUCCUGCCUCAGCCUUUUGAGUAGCUGGGACCACAGGCUCACAGGCAGAAGGAAUUUUCCUUGUCUUGGAUGAGACUUUUGACUUGGACUUUUGGGUUAAGUUCUGGAGACCAGAAGGCCAAAAUCAAAAGUAUGGGCAGGCUUGAUUUCUUUAGAAGACUCCAGCGGAGAACUGUGUCUCCUUGCUUCUGAUUCUACAUCUCCAUCCAUGGGCCACUGUUUCAGCAACCUCAGCCAGUGCAACACAACCUCAGCCAAGAAGAGUAUGCAGAGAAAGGAGUCCCCUACCUGCCACAAAACUGUUGUCUGAAAACUGUCUCAUAUUGUCUCAAGUUGUCAUUCAUUGUGAAUUAGACCUGUUUAACAUGUAAUCUGCAACAUGCUUCACUGUCUAAUUUUCCAGAGCCCCUCAUAUAAGGAACUGUAUUAUUGGUAUAAUCAUCAUGGUGAAGAAGUUGGUAUGUGGGGGAGAGAUGACAGAAACAGAGAGUAAGUCAGAGCUGGCUGCCUGACAGAUAAAAAGGAAAUGACC